GUGGAUGUAGCUCAGAGGUAGAGCUCCGGAUUGUGGUUUCGUAGGGCAUGGGUUCGAUCCCCAUCAUCCACC
RNAcentral lists this transfer RNA (72 nucleotides) under Candidatus Portiera aleyrodidarum (primary endosymbiont of Bemisia tabaci). RNAcentral's name for it is "tRNA-His (GTG) (tRNA-His-GTG-1-1)". It matches the Rfam family "tRNA". Rfam says of the family: Transfer RNA (tRNA) molecules are approximately 80 nucleotides in length. Their secondary structure includes four short double-helical elements and three loops (D, anti-codon, and T loops). Lineage: Bacteria; Pseudomonadati; Pseudomonadota; Gammaproteobacteria; Johnevansiales (SeqCode); Johnevansiaceae (SeqCode). The record is from RNAcentral.